UCUGCGAUAGCUCAGCGGUAGAGCAAUCGGCUGUUAACCGAUUGGUCGUAGGUUCGAAUCCUACUCGCAGAGCCA
RNAcentral lists this transfer RNA (75 nucleotides) under Rickettsiales bacterium. RNAcentral describes it as "tRNA-Asn". It matches the Rfam family "tRNA". From Rfam's summary of the family: Transfer RNA (tRNA) molecules are approximately 80 nucleotides in length. Their secondary structure includes four short double-helical elements and three loops (D, anti-codon, and T loops). Further hydrogen bonds mediate the characteristic L-shaped molecular structure. tRNAs have two regions of fundamental functional importance: the anti-codon, which is responsible for specific mRNA codon recognition, and the 3' end, to which the tRNAs corresponding amino acid is attached (by aminoacyl-tRNA synthetases). tRNAs cope with the degeneracy of the genetic code in two manners: having more than one tRNA (with a specific anti-codon) for a particular amino acid; and 'wobble' base-pairing, i.e. permitting non-standard base-pairing at the 3rd anti-codon position. The record is from RNAcentral. Lineage: Bacteria; Pseudomonadati; Pseudomonadota; Alphaproteobacteria; Rickettsiales.